CGGGGGGGGCAAGCGUUGUUCGGAAUUACUGGGCGUAAAGGGCGCGUAGGCGGUUCGCUAAGUUGGAUGUGAAAACUCUGGGCUCAACCCAGAGCCUGCAUCCAAAACUGGCGGGCUAGAGUUCUGGAGGGGGUAGCGGAAUUCCUGGUGUAGCGGUGAAAUGCGUAGAUAUCAGGAGGAACACCGGUGGCGAAGGCGGCUACCUGGACAGAAACUGACGCUGAGGCGCGAAAGCUAGGGGAGCAAACAGGAUUAGAUACCCUGGUAGUCCUAGCCCUAAACGAUGGAUACUUGGUGUGACUGGGAUUGAAUCCAGUCGUGCCGAAGCUAACGCAUUAAGUAUCCCGCCUGGGGAGUACGGUCGCAAGGCUG
This 372-nucleotide ribosomal RNA is filed under the name uncultured organism. RNAcentral describes it as "bacterial SSU rRNA". It matches the Rfam family "Bacterial small subunit ribosomal RNA", at positions 526 to 896 of the family's 1533-position model. The record is from RNAcentral.